This 69-nucleotide transfer RNA is filed under the name Coprophanaeus sp. BMNH679884. RNAcentral's name for it is "tRNA-Ser". Lineage: Eukaryota; Metazoa; Arthropoda; Insecta; Coleoptera; Scarabaeidae. The record is from RNAcentral.
AAGAUAGGAUUAAAUCAGAAAUAAGCUUCUAACUUAAAUUCUUAGCAGUGAGAUUCUGUUAAUAUCUUU